Molecule: long non-coding RNA, 1013 nt
Organism: Gossypium raimondii (Peruvian cotton)
Lineage: Eukaryota; Viridiplantae; Streptophyta; Magnoliopsida; Malvales; Malvaceae
Exons: 2
Source: RefSeq, a predicted model, not a curated record
UUCUUCUCUUAUUCUUAAACUGGUAUGCAUGUGAUGCUUGACUGCAUUUUUAGGGAUGAAAAUGGAGUAAAUGAAAAACAUGAAACUUUUAGGUCUUAAGAUGCUAUGCACCCAUGGUUGAAGUUGGGCCAAAUCCAUAUAAAACCAACAGUUUUGUGGCGUUUAUACUCUUUUAAGGUUUAAGCACAUGGGCUGACCCAAGCAGGGAUGAACAUACAAAUACAAGGAUGAUGUCAAAAUCAAGCACAUGCAAUUCAAGAGUCACCGCCAAUUAUCGAUUCAAUUUCUUUCAAAUUUAUUAAAAUUAGGAAAAGAAAAAGCACAAUAAAAAUUGGACUAAAUUAUCAAUAAAUGCCGAAAAUUUUCAAAUUUACCAGUUUUUUUUAGAAAAUUUACAGGAAUAGGUGGAUUUUAUGAAUAUUUCACCAUUUCCCAGUUCAAUCUGGAUAUGACAACGAUUAGUUUUCCUCUAGGAAUUACUUCAUCUAUCUCUAGUUUCUCAAAUAUUAGUUGUUGUUUGCUCUACCUUCCCUAAAUGCUUCCUUCUGUGCCUCCAAUCGUCGAGAUGCAAUGGGGUUAGAUCGUCUGCUUGUGGGAGCUUUCUCACACUUUUGUUGGAGAUUCUCUUCUCCUCUCCCUACCGAGGCUCGCUCUUUUAGUUUCCAACCGAGCCUUUGAUGUGUUGUUUUCUCUAAGUAUCAUCUUCCACCUAGUGAGCCACCGGAUGGAAUGUGAUAGAGCUUCAAUGUCAAUGAACCUGUUGGGUUGUGGUAGUAUGGCCAACCUGUUGGAGGUGAGCAUGAUUGGCGGAUGCUCCAAACCCGUUAUGGUUUGGAUGCUUUUUCCUAUUAAUGGGUUUAGGUUUUUGGAAUUAAAUUAAAUUUUUUUAUAGUAGCUAGAAUAUAACUUUUAGCUCACAAUUUUAUCAUUUUUAAAAUGUAAUUUUAUCAUUUAUUAAUUUAUAAUUUUUUAAAUUUUAGAGAAAUAAAUACACAAAAUUUUCAUUUUAGGGA